GACGAAUGGAACUAUGGCGAAUUGAAACCAAAGAAGUGAUUAUGACAGCAGGAGAAGUGGCAGCAGCACGUGUUGGUUACUGCACAGCCACAAGACCUUUCUUGCAGCCAAGAUCUUUUUUAAAAUGUGAGGCAGGAGAGGAAUGGGCAGAAAUGUACACCUCAGCUGUCCCAACCACUGAAUUAGAAAUACGUUCCUCUCUGGAAUCGUGGCCUUAGCAUGCUCUGGAGCAGCAGGUUGGGGAUUUCUUGUUCUCUUGAGAUGCAAAGAGAUCUCAAGAUUGGAAUCCCCACUGCUGAAAGAUGGCAAUGUA
This is a long non-coding RNA of Mauremys reevesii (Reeves's turtle), 313 nucleotides long. RefSeq lists it as uncharacterized. The transcript is spliced from 3 exons. The record is from RefSeq and is a predicted model, not a curated record. NCBI's taxonomy places the organism in Eukaryota, Metazoa, Chordata, Testudines, Geoemydidae.